Molecule: microRNA precursor, 90 nt
Organism: Athene cunicularia (burrowing owl)
Lineage: Eukaryota; Metazoa; Chordata; Aves; Strigiformes; Strigidae
Source: Ensembl
AAUGUUUACUUCUAGCAACACUAUCCUGAUGCUGUCAGAGUAAGUGGUAAAGCUCCAGCAUCAGUGAUUUUGUUGUUAGUGGUAAAUUCA